AUUGAACGCUGGCGGCAUGCUUUACACAUGCAAGUCGAACGGCAGCACAGAGAAGCUUGCUUCUUGGGUGGCGAGUGGCGAACGGGUGAGUAACAUAUCGGAACGUACCGAGUAAUGGGGGAUAACUAAUCCAAAGAUUAGCUAAUACCGCAUAUUCUCUGAGGAGGAAAGCAGGGGACCUUCGGGCCUUGCGUUAUUCGAGCGGCCGAUAUCUGAUUAGCUAGUUGGUGGGGUAAAGGCCUACCAAGGCGACGAUUAGUAGCGGGUCUGAGAGGAUGAUCCGCCACACUGGGACUGAGACACGGCCCAGACUCCUACGGGAGGCAGCAGUGGGGAAUUUUGGACAAUGGGCGCAAGCCUGAUCCAGCCAUGCCGCGUGUCUGAAGAAGGCCUUCGGGUUGUAAAGGACUUUUGUCAGGGAAGAAAAGGCUGUUGCUAAUAUCAAUAGCUGAUGACGGUACCUGAAGAAUAAGCACCGGCUAACUACGUGCCAGCAGCCGCGGUAAUACGUAGGGUGCGAGCGUUAAUCGGAAUUACUGGGCGUAAAGCGAGCGCAGACGGUUACUUAAGCAGGAUGUGAAAUCCCCAGGCUCAACCUGGGAACUGCGUUCUGAACUGGGUGACUAGAGUGUGUCAGAGGGAGGUAGAAUUCCACGUGUAGCAGUGAAAUGCGUAGAGAUGUGGAGGAAUACCGAUGGCGAAGGCAGCCUCCUGGGAUAACACUGACGUUCAUGCUCGAAAGCGUGGGUAGCNAACAGG
This 759-nucleotide ribosomal RNA is filed under the name Neisseria subflava. Its description in RNAcentral is "bacterial SSU rRNA". It matches the Rfam family "Bacterial small subunit ribosomal RNA", at positions 28 to 776 of the family's 1533-position model. The record is from RNAcentral. Lineage: Bacteria; Pseudomonadati; Pseudomonadota; Betaproteobacteria; Neisseriales; Neisseriaceae.